AAAUUGAAGAGUUUGAUCAUGGCUCAGAUUGAACGCUGGCGGCAGGCCUAACACAUGCAAGUCGAACGGUAACAGGAAGCAGCUUGCUGCUUCGCUGACGAGUGGCGGACGGGUGAGUAAUGUCUGGGAAACUGCCUGAUGGAGGGGGAUAACUACUGGAAACGGUAGCUAAUACCGCAUAAUGUCGCAAGACCAAAGAGGGGGACCUUCGGGCCUCUUGCCAUCGGAUGUGCCCAGAUGGGAUUAGCUUGUUGGUGGGGUAACGGCUCACCAAGGCGACGAUCCCUAGCUGGUCUGAGAGGAUGACCAGCCACACUGGAACUGAGACACGGUCCAGACUCCUACGGGAGGCAGCAGUGGGGAAUAUUGCACAAUGGGCGCAAGCCUGAUGCAGCCAUG
This 399-nucleotide ribosomal RNA is filed under the name Escherichia coli. Its description in RNAcentral is "bacterial SSU rRNA". It matches the Rfam family "Bacterial small subunit ribosomal RNA", at positions 1 to 396 of the family's 1533-position model. The record is from RNAcentral. Lineage: Bacteria; Pseudomonadati; Pseudomonadota; Gammaproteobacteria; Enterobacterales; Enterobacteriaceae. RNAcentral also lists the same sequence under 1 other name.